GCUGCUUGUGGGGUGGUAGAGCUGCUUGUGGGGUUGUAUGACUGCUUGUGGGGUUGUAGGGUUGCUGAUGGGUUCAUUGGCCCAGUUAUGGGUUUGUAGGGCCAUGGAUUUGUAGGGCUGCUCAUGGGUCUGUAGGGCCAUGGGUUUAUAGGGCUGGUUAUGGGUCUGUGGGGCUGCUCAUGGAUUUCUGAGGUUGGUUAUGGAUUUAUGGGGUUGGUCAUAGUUUUGUAGGACUGCUCAUGGGUUUGUAGGGUUGAUUAUGGCUCUGUGAGGCUACUCAUGUGCUUGUAGGGCAAUGGGUUUGUAGGGCUGGUUAUGGGUUUGUAGGGUUGGCUAUGGGUCUGUGGGGCUGCUCAUGGGUUUCUAAGGUUGGUUAUGGAUUUAUAGGGUUGCUUAUAGGUUUGUAGGGCUGCUCAUGUGUUUGUAGGGUUGGUUAUGGGUCUGCAGGGCUGGUCAUGGUUUUGUAGGACUGCUCAUGGGUUUGUAGGGUUGGUUAUGAGUUUGUAGGGCUGCUCAUGUGUUUGUAGGGUUGGUUAUGGGUCUGAGAGGCUGCUCAUGGACUUGUAGGGCCAUGUGUUUGUAGGGCUGGUUAUGGGUUUGUAGGGUUGGUUACUGGUCUGUGGGGCUGCUCAUGGGCUUGUAGAGCCAUGGGUUUGUAGGGCCAUCAGUCUGUGGGGUUGGUUGUGGACUUGUAGGCUGGUUGUGAGUUUGUAGGGCUGCUUAUGGGUGAGUAGGGUUGGUAAUGGAUUUGUACAGUUAUGGGUAUGGGUUUGUAGGGCUGGUCAUGGGUUUGUAGGGUUGGUUAUGGGUUCGCAGGGCUGCUCUUGGGUUUGUAGGGAUGAUUAUGGGUCUAUAGGGUUGGUUAUGAGUCUGUGGGGCUGCUCAUGGGUCAUGGGCUUAUAGGGCUGCUCAUGGAUCUGUGGGGCUGGUUACAGGUCUGUGAGCUGGUUAUGGGUUUGUAGGUUGGUUAUGGGUCUGUGGGGCUGCUCAUAAGUUUACAGAGCCAUGUAGGGCCAUGGGUUUGUAGGGCUGUUCAUGGUCUUACUGAUCCAGUCCUGGGUUUAUAGGGUUGAUCAUGGGUUUAUCCUCCUGGUUAUGGGUUUAUAGGUCUGGUUAUGGAUCUAUUGGUCUGGUUAUGGGUUUAUUGGACACUCAUGGAUUCAUCAGUUGGAUCACGGGUUUAUUGGUUCAGUUAUGGGUUUUAUGUUCUGAUCACGCGUUCAUUGGUCUGGUUAUAGGUUUAUUGGUCCAGUCGCGGGUUUAUCAGGCCAGCUGGGGAUGUGUCCAUCUGGUUAUGGGUUUCGCAGUCUGACGAUGGGUUUAUGGGUUCAGACACGAAUGUGUCGGUCCGGCCGUGGGUUUGUGGGUCUGGUUAUGGAUCUGUUGGUCCUGGAAUGGGUUUAUUGCUCCGCUCAUGGAUUUAUAGGUCUGCUUAUGGAUUUGUUGGUUCAGUCUUGGGUUUAUUGGUCCGGAUCGGAUUUAUCCAUCUGCUCCUGGAUUUAUCGAGCCAGUUAUGGGUUCAUCGGUCUGUUUAUGGAUUGAUCAGUCAGCUCGUGGACCUGUCAUGGCUUUGUGGGUCUGGUCGUGGGUUUGUUGGUCCAGUUAUGGAUUUAUCCGGCUGCUUAUGGAUUUCUUGGUCUGCUUAUGGGUCGAUCGGUCCAGUUAUGGAUUCGUAGACCUGGUCAUGGGUUUCUUGAUCCCGUUAUGGGUUUAUUGGUCCAGUCACGGAUCACAGGUCCAGUUAUGGACAUACAGGUCUGGUCAUGGGUUUAUUGGUUUGGUUCUGGAUUUAUCAGUCCAGUCGUGAGUUUAUCAGUUUGGUAAUGAAGUUAUCGGUCGGGUUAUGGAUUUACCCAUCUGCUCAUGGAUUUAUCGGUGCCAUUAUAGAUUUAUAGGUCCAGUCACGGGUUUAUAGGUCUGGUUAUGGAUUUAUCACUCCGGUUAUGGAUUUAUGGCUCUGAAGGUGGGGAGUCGGAUGACACACAGAACAUUAAGGUAUUUUUGAGGUUUCUUUCGCUUCAGCGUUGGGUUUUGGAAGGGAAGAGCCCAUCGAGCGUUCUGCUGCCACAACUUAUUAAAAAACAAAACCGAAAACCAAACACAACAACUCGAUAUUUUCAUCAUGGAAAAAUAAUAAUCGUAAUAAACGGCACUUCGUAUUUGCAGGGUCUUCUGGUUUGUCCCGGUUGGUGUUAACCCUUGGGUGGCUGAGGCAGGGAACCGAUCCAACCCCGUCCCAUUGGGGUGGAUGUGGGCUGAGAGGGAGGCGAUGCCAUAAAUCCCAGUGCUGCACGGAUUGCAGAGCCUGGCUGAGCUCUGCUGGGAGCCCCGGGCUGCUCCAGCCUCAGCAGCACUUCAAUCAGCCCCAAAUUUGGGCAGAUAGCUGGAAAACGAUUCCGGAUCCUGGGAAAUAAUUGUCUCGAG
Long non-coding RNA from Tympanuchus pallidicinctus (lesser prairie-chicken), 2424 nucleotides. RefSeq lists it as uncharacterized. NCBI's taxonomy places the organism in Eukaryota, Metazoa, Chordata, Aves, Galliformes, Phasianidae. The transcript has 3 exons. The record is from RefSeq and is a predicted model, not a curated record.